GUAGCAAGUUUUAGAUUUUUUAUAUUUGGGAAUAGAGAGGAUAUAUCAUUCUUGUCACUUAAGUGGUUUCUGUAUUUCUUUAAUUUACUGCUUUAGAAUUCAUUGCCAAUCUUAAGUGCUUUUAUAAGUUUUAACUCCCUUUCUCAUCACAUUCAUCCUUUUUUUCCUUCCCCUUUGAUAUACUUGUAUCACCAUUGUUGUCGACCACAAAACUGAAAAGAUCUGGUCUCCAGAGAGAAGUCGUGACAUUGUUUCGUGUAUAAACUCGAAGGUAGACAAAAGGUAACCCUCCUACAGCAACAAACAUACUAGCGGCCGAAGGAACUAUCCACAUCGUGCAUCUUCACUCUGGAAAAAAAAUGUCCUAAAUUGCGACCCAUGCUAUGUAACCAGCUCAACUUUGCUUUGUGAUGAGCUCAAUGUCCGCUCCAACUUCAGCGAUCUUUGCUUCUUUAGAUGCCUUUGCCGCUUUUGCAAUAUUUGCAACGUCAAAGUCCAUUGCAAUUCUUUUAACAACACCUUCAAGCAUCAGUGAUCCUAUGGCAACUAAAGCCCGAAAUUUUGCAUCAGCUUCAACACUUUCCUCUUCAGCAAUCUCAAGUGCAGCUGAAAGUACUUGAGACUGUCCCUCUUCAUCCUUCUUUUCAACCAAGAGAACAGCAUAGUUGAGUAUCAGUGUUGAAUAAGCCAACUGAACAUUUUUAUUGGAAGAUAAGUAACAAGUGGAAUAUGCAUCCAGAACCUCCCCACGAUGCUUUAACAGCCAGUCAUGGUAGGAUGCAUUCUUAAAGAAGUUGGUCAAAGCACGAACACUUGUCAGAAGAUUUGCAGGUAGUGGAGGACUGGUUGUGACCUUCUUGAUCAACUCCAUGAGCACAUCAUUCGCCUUGUUGACAUGCUUGGAAAGUACAGCAGCACCAUCAGCAUGCAGUAUCAUCAUCCUCAAAAUAUCGAUUACUGGAAAUAACAUCGUCAACGGCCAAGAUUUUAGCAACUUCAGCACCAUUACAACAUCAUCGUCUGAGAAUUUACUACUAUGGUAGUGUGAUGUGUCCUUCAAAACAUGAAUGAUAGAAGCCAGUCUGGACAUAUCAGCCUCAGUCAAUACCAUAUGUUUUUGCUCUGGGGCAGAUAAUAAAGUAUUAUUGAACUCUGAAACUUUCUUGAGGAUACCAUCAAAUUGUGCUGCAUCAAAGACGAGCAUUCCUUUCUUGGGGACAUGCUUAAAAGUAGGUUUCGCUGCAACUGGCUUUGAAGGUUGACCAGGUGUAUAUGCGCUACUGCCAGUGUAGGGGUCACGGAAUGAUGGAUCCGGAGUGAACUGUUUCUGACCAGUAUUUUGAAGAAUGAACUCCACAAUUUGUUCACGGUAAGAAAGAGGCAGAUUCUCUUUGAGUAGCCACUUGUCAGCAACGUCAUAUGGAUUAUCUGAACGAUUGCAGGGUAAUUUGCGAAUAGGUUCACCAUCUCCAAUAUCAACAUCAAACACAUGAUCAUAUUGGAUUCCAUCAUGAAGAGGGCGAGACAUGCCAUCAUUGGGCCCGUCAACCACUUCACCAAUUUUAUCCCACUUCUGUUCCAUCAUAUUCCAUGCAUACGCCACUCCAUUGUCUCCUUCGCGGACAACUUUGGUCUGUCCAUCACUAUUACCUGGGAUUUGUAAGGCCUCAAGCCCAGGAAGCUCUUCCAAUUUCAACCCUCCAACUCUCUUCCUACUCAGCGUGUACUGUGAGAGUUGGGCAGCAUAUGACUCUAGUUCUAGCGGGUCAGCAAUCUUAUCCUGAUGGACAGUCCAAAUGCGCACCACACCAUCAGAGCAUGCGGUCACUAUGUCGCCAUUGUCUAAGAAUUUGGCAUCCCAAACA
RNAcentral lists this unclassified non-coding RNA (1865 nucleotides) under Hevea brasiliensis (rubber tree). Lineage: Eukaryota; Viridiplantae; Streptophyta; Magnoliopsida; Malpighiales; Euphorbiaceae. The record is from RNAcentral.